AUAUUUUUAAAUAUAUAACUCUUAUAUAUUAUUAAUAUAUGUUUAUUAUAAUUUUAAAUAUAUUUAAUCUAUAUAUAAAAAUUAUAAUAAUAAUAUAUAUAUUAUAUUAAUUAUUAUAUAUUUAUUAUAUAUCCGAAUUUUUUAUCCCGAAUUUUUAAUUGGUGAACGUAUAAUAUCCGUAUAAAUCACGUAUCUGAAUAGUUGUCGAAUCCGUUUUUUAGUCGUAUAUUUCAACGAAUUUAAAAAUUAAAAGACGAAUUUUAUCCGAAUUAUAUCCAUAUCGAAUUUUCACCGAAUCCGAAUUAACUAACUAUGUCUUCAGCCACCAAGGUUGGUUUAGCUGCGAUCGAUCUCAUCCGUUCAUCUGCUCGCUCCACCGUGCUUAAUUAAUUAAUUGAUAUUUGAAGGGCAAAUAAGAAAAGUAUUUGCUAUAUGAAGGGUAUAUAAGAAAAGUUAGUUAUGGUAUAAGGGUAUAUUGGAAUAGAUAAAAUGAUAAUUUUUUAUAAAUAACGGCAACUGUUAACACCUCACUAACGAAAUUUAACUAUAAGGGCUUGUUUGGUUCAGGGUGGAAUUGGAAUAGAUAAUGGAAUGGAAAUAAAUUGGAAUGGUAAUUGGAAUGACCCACUCUCCCAAGACGUUUGGUUUAUUUGUGGAUUAGGAAUUGGCAUGAGUUAUUCAUAUUUCAUUGUUUGGUUCGUAUAAACUAAAAAAAUUAUAGCAUACUAUAAUACUAAUUUUACUCUCAAAUAUAAAUUUAUAUUAUUUAAAAUUUAUGAAAAAUAUAAAACUAUUCUCUAAAAAGUUUUCCAAAAAAAAUAUAAAAUUUAUUUUUAAAAAACUUUUAUUGAUGCGGGUUAGGGAUAGGGUUUUGAGCGAGGAUAGAUUUUUUUUUUUUUUGAUGAGAAAGGGGUGAAGAGAAGGAGGGUGAGAUUGUCACAUGGGCUUCGAGAACUUAGUAGGCUUCCGGAAUAAAAUCUCAAUCCGGGUUAGAAGACCGGAAUCAAGUUGAAGGCUAAUGGACCAUUCCCAUUCCAGUCUGGAAUAGAAAUCCCAAACCGAUUCAUGCGAACCAAACAAAAUUAACCGGAUUUGAUCAAACAAAUUUCCAUUCCAUACCCAAAAUGGAUGAAUCAAACAAGCCCUAAAGGUAUAUUAGAAAGAAUUUGAAACAUAAGAAAGAUAUUUUCAAUAUUAGCCUUCUAAGAGGGGUAAAUAAAAAAAUUGAAAACUUUUUAGGAAUAUAUAGGCAAUUGCCCCUAUAUGUAUAUAGAGAGAGAGAGAGAGAGAGAGAGAGAGAGCGAGAGAGAGAGAGAGAGAGAGAGAGAGAGAGAGAGAGAGAGAGCUAGGCUCCUAUUCUUUCGAAAGUACGGGAGCCUCCGUACUUGUAAGUUGUUUUUAAUAAUGGGACAUCCAAUUCGGCGAUCGGUCUUGCUAUUGAUGUUAAGUAGAAUUUUCUAUUAAAUUUUCAUCUAAUUUGGAUACUUCUACACCGUUGAAUUUAAAAACGUGCCACAUCGGCCAUUAAAAUAGUCAUUUUUGAGACCUUUUGAUCGCUUGGUAAAUGAUGUCAAAAAAUUAUAAAAUUUGGUUUCUAAAUAGUUUCAAUAGGAUAGAUUAUACUUAACGGAGCCGAUCGUCGAAUCGAAUUUUCUAUCAUCGAAAACAACUUACAAAUACGGAGAUCUCCAUGCGAAAGUAUAGGAGACUUUACUCUAUACAUAGAUGUACACACACACAAGCGAAGGAAGAGGGGGUAUCGUGUGAUAAAUAUUAUAGACAAACAUAGUACAUUUUGGGCAAUAUUUGUAACCCGUAGCUAGAUGGUGACUCUUGUGAAAUGUGUACACCCCUUAUAUUAACUCAUUGCAUUAAUAAGUCCCAAUUAUUAUUAUAGAAACGAAUUUAGUAGCAAAUGCUAAAUAAUUAGGCUUCUGAGCUAUAAACCUCGUAUUUCAAUUAUAAAGUUCUUUGUCACUAACUCUAGAAUAUCGUAUGUAUCGGAGAUAAGCAAAAAGUGGCUAUUCCAGAAAUAUGUAUAAAUUGAGGUAUAAGCGGGAAUUAUAUAAAUUUAGCGUUUGGAUGAAAAUUGGUUUUAUCCUGAAAAUAAAAAAAAUAGUGUUUGGUUAGGUAAGAUGGAAUAAGAAAAAUAGUAAAUUUUUAUAAAUAAAAAAUAAUCAUAUAUCUUAUUAUAUUUGAAUUUAAAUUUUUAAAUUUUUAAAUUUAUAUUUUUAAAUUUAAAAUUUUAACUUUGAAAUUUCAAAAUUUCAAAUUUAAAAUCUCAAAAUUUAAAUUCAAAAUAUUAAAUUUUAAAUUUCAAACUUUAAAAUAAAAAUAAUGUAUUAUAAUAUAUAACAUAUUAUAUUUAUAUAAUUUAGUUUUAAUUCAAUUUAUAGUUCUAAUUAAGUUUUAAAUUAAGCAUUGGAAUAUCACUAUUCCACCAAAAUGGUGGAAUAGCAAAUCCCUUGCUAUUCCGAAAUAACGAGGAAUAGCAAGAUAUAUUUGACCGGGAUAAAAUAUUCCGGACAAAUUUCAUCCCGUUUGGCAGAAUAGCGGGGAUAACUUUUGUUAUCCCUGCUUAUCCCCAGAA
Molecule: long non-coding RNA, 2590 nt
Filed under: Ananas comosus (pineapple)
Lineage: Eukaryota; Viridiplantae; Streptophyta; Magnoliopsida; Poales; Bromeliaceae
Description: long non-coding RNA (ACOM_LNC005018)
Source: RNAcentral